UAUGUCAUAUUAACUAUAAGCCAUGUCAUCAAUCUUGAUAGCCAUGUCAUCAUUUUUUUGUAAAAAUGAUUAUAGAAAAGAGAUGUGGCAAAAUUACUUCGCAAAUAUAGUUUAGGGGAUAUCAAACUUCACACGAAUAAAGCGGAAACUUCAACUGGGGCUCGGUUAUUGUCGACUGGGGCUCUCCAAUGGUGUGUAUGUUGGAUGAAGGUUCUGAUGAGUGUGUGUGGCUUGUUGGAUGAGAUCUCGGUGGUCAGGCGAUGAAGAUGUAGGCCUGAAGUGGUGUUGCCCUAGCUCUGGUUCUGUUCCCGGUGUUUUUCCGGACAUGCCCCGUGGAGUUACGGUGGCGAUUUGCACGCUGGUGAAGACGGUGGCGAUUUGCAGGUAGGUGAAGAUGGUGGUGUUGUUUCCAAGCACAUGUCCCAUCUCUCUCGUGUGAUUGACACGUCAAUUCGUAGUCACUGAGUUAUCUUUAGACUUGGGUUUGAUUUGGGCUGGUAUUGAGCCUUAGUAGUGUUGUUGUAGGCCUUGUUUGUUUGGGUCUUGUUGUCCAUUUGUUUUGGGCUUUUCUUUUGUAAUAAACUUUGUUUAAUAUAAAAUACUAGUUGGCAAA
RNAcentral lists this long non-coding RNA (613 nucleotides) under Brassica napus (rape). RNAcentral describes it as "long non-coding RNA (BNAP_LNC005652)". Lineage: Eukaryota; Viridiplantae; Streptophyta; Magnoliopsida; Brassicales; Brassicaceae. The record is from RNAcentral.